AUCAUGAGUUCACAUGUCCGCAUGAUUAAAGGUAUUUUCCGGUAGACGAUGGGGAUGCGUUCCAUUAGAUAGUAGGCGGGGUAACGGCCCACCUAGUCAACGAUGGAUAGGGGUUCUGAGAGGAAGGUCCCCCACAUUGGAACUGAGACACGGUCCAAACUCCUACGGGAGGCAGCAGUGAGGAAUAUUGGUCAAUGGGCGAUGGCCUGAACCAGCCGAGUAGCGUGAAGGAUGACUGCCCUAUGGGUUGUAAACUUCUUUUAUAAAGGAAUAAAGUCGGGUAUGCAUACCCGUUUGCAUGUACUUUAUGAAUAAGGAUCGGCUAACUCCGUGCCAGCAGCCGCGGUAAUACGGAGGAUCCGAGCGUUAUCCGGAUUUAUUGGGUUUAAAGGGAGCGUAGAUGGAUGUUUAAGUCAGUUGUGAAAGUUUGCGGCUCAACCGUAAAAUUGCAGUUGAUACUGGAUGUCUUGAGUGCAGUUGAGGCAGGCGGAAUUCGUGGUGUAGCGGUGAAAUGCUUAGAUAUCACGAAGAACUCCGAUUG
RNAcentral lists this ribosomal RNA (541 nucleotides) under uncultured Bacteroidota bacterium. RNAcentral describes it as "bacterial SSU rRNA". It matches the Rfam family "Bacterial small subunit ribosomal RNA", at positions 173 to 715 of the family's 1533-position model. Lineage: Bacteria; Pseudomonadati; Bacteroidota. The record is from RNAcentral.